CCUACGGGUGGCAGCAGUGAGGAAUAUUGGUCAAUGGGCGCGAGCCUGAACCAGCCAAGUAGCGUGAAGGAUGAAUGCCCUACGGGUUGUAAACUUCUUUUAUAAAGGAAUAAAGUGAGGCACGUGUGCCUUUUUGUAUGUACUUUAUGAAUAAGGAUCGGCUAACUCCGUGCCAGUAGCCGCGGUAAUACGGAGGAUCCGAGCGUUAUCCGUAUUUAUUGGGUUUAAGGGGAGAGUCGAUGGGUUAUUAAGUCAGUUGGGAAAGUUUGCGGCUCAACCGUAAAAUUGCAAUGGAGACUGGCAGUCUUGAGUACAGUUGAGGUAGGCGGAAUUCGUGGUGUAGCGGUGAAAUGCUUAGAUAUCACGAAGAACUCCGAUUGCGAAGGCAGCUUACUAAACUGCCACUGACAUUGAUGCUCGAAAGUGUGGGUAUCAAACAGGAUUAGAUACCCCAGUAGUC
This 460-nucleotide ribosomal RNA is filed under the name uncultured bacterium. RNAcentral describes it as "partial 16S ribosomal RNA". It matches the Rfam family "Bacterial small subunit ribosomal RNA", at positions 338 to 795 of the family's 1533-position model. The record is from RNAcentral.